AGAAGAGAAGAGAAGAGAAGAGAAGAGAAGAGAAGAGAAGAGAAGAGAAGAGAAGAGAAGAGAAGAGAAGAGAAGAGAAGAGAAGAGAAGAGAGAAAAAGAAGAAAAAAAAGGAACUUCCAUCAAAAAUCCAGCCCAGGCUGCAACUGGAGUCUGAGAGUUGUUCCGUCCUUCCAGGCUGCAGUAAAAAAUACAGUUUGACAUUAUAUUGAAUCAUGAAUAAGAAGAUUCCAACUGACAGUGAAAUUCAACCCCAGAUAUGACUUACCCUACAAGGCAGUGGAGAUCAGUGCUGUUGGUUUCACUGAAGCUACCUCUGACUGAAGCCAUUCUAGCUGAGAUGAUUAUUGUCUAUUAAGGUUUCCUUUAGAUUUACUCUCAUUGUACUUCUCAGUGAAAAAUAGUACAUGACUGAAAGCAAAUCUAAUUGGGUGUAAUUCAUGGAACAACACCUGCUGUUGCAAGUUGGGAUUAAAAAACACUAGGAGACAUGUUAAGAUAAUGUGAGAUCAGUGCUGAAAUGGUGUAAAUGACUGUAGCUCCAUUUUUUAUCUCUUGUGUGUGCAUGCCUUAAGCCUUAUU
Long non-coding RNA from Pogoniulus pusillus (Red-fronted tinkerbird), 581 nucleotides. RefSeq lists it as uncharacterized. The transcript has 3 exons. Lineage: Eukaryota; Metazoa; Chordata; Aves; Piciformes; Lybiidae. The record is from RefSeq and is a predicted model, not a curated record.